Long non-coding RNA from Bombus pascuorum, 1584 nucleotides. RefSeq lists it as uncharacterized. The record is from RefSeq and is a predicted model, not a curated record. The transcript is spliced from 3 exons. NCBI's taxonomy places the organism in Eukaryota, Metazoa, Arthropoda, Insecta, Hymenoptera, Apidae.
CUGUUAUCGAUGCAAUGGUAUGGUUUUAUCGCGAGAACAUUCGCCAGGUUCGCGUAUCAGCAACGUGGAAAUGCUCACGGUAGUUCUGAAAUAUGAUCGACCUGCGCAACAAUUUACUCGCGAUAUUAUCUCACGGCAAAUAGGCUAGAAGACGUAGAGGUACUUCCCGUGAGUCAGGUGGCCGCUCGUAAAAUCUGAUACAUUGUGCGGCCAGCCGUGGUGUAUUCGUCAUGUCGAGACACACCGAAGACACGCGAUCGACGAAACGAAAGGAUUGACCCCGUGGAACGUCCGUGACCAACCAUCUUCUUUUUCUCUGCCAGGCACCUACGACUCCAGCGUUCCACGAAGUAUCGAUUUAUGGGGGACGAAACGUCAUAUCGACACGAUGAUUUCUCAUCGGCUAAAUUCAAACAACAUCGCACCCAGUGCGUCUUUAAAGCGCUCAGUCGAUCCAUCGGCAAUUUUUCACGCGAUUCCAAUCCACGAGGGAAGCGCGUCUGGCUGACGACGCGGAGGCGGCCCAUGCGAGCCGGCCCGCACAAAGGCGCAUCCUCGCGAGGAAAUUUAUCGCGACGGGACGACGUUUCCCGUGAAAAGCGUCGAAGAAAGAAGAUAGAAACGAGGCGAGGAGCGCGGAGAACGCAGCAAUCUGGUGAAUAGGCGCGCUUUCCAGAAGCAUCGCGAAUCAAUUCCCGGAUUGACUCUGCACCAGGUUGCCGCGCCGAUUUUUCAGCUUUCUCCAGGCGGAAAACUCGCACGUCUCGUAUCCAUGGCAUAUUUGCCUGGUUACUGAAUGGAAAAUGGAUCGACAAGAAUGCAAUAUCGGAACUCGCGAACAAUCGUUCGAUGUCAAGUAAUAGAGACGAUAUCGAUAUGCCAAGAAUUUUUGUUACCUUUGAUCGUUGAGUGAAGCCCUUCGUGUUUAAGGUAUUUAUUUAUUUAAUGAUUAUUUAACGUACUUCACUACUAUUAUGGCUACUAUAGUGAUCGAUACUGGACUUGUCAUUGGCGAUUUGCAAGUUAAUUAAAUCAUUCGAAUUAAAGAAACGUUGAUGGAAAUUCAGUAAAUUUUUGAUACUUUUGAUAUCAUUUGAUCAAUUAUUUUGAUUUAAAGUGCCAGUUACAUGUUAUAAAAUACUUGGCAAAAGUGUUCGUGUACCCUAUCUCAAUCAACAUAGAUCAUAUUUUAUUCUACAAAAAUACUCGAACAACUAAGAAGACAAAGUUUUGCCAAGUCUUAUUAUUUCAAAGUAUAUCUAGAUUACGUUAAUACUUUGACUGCCACAUUGAUCAUAUAUGACCGGCCACGGUUGUCAUUGGUGACCGAAGCGCUCGAACUUCUUACAAUUGUAAAAAUUGAAUGAAAAUUGACAGUUAGGGCAUUUGGAAUAUAACCGAUAAAUAGAAGAUGCUUUGAAAUACAAAAUUACCCAUUGAACAAUUAAACAUUUUUAUUCAAACAUCAAUAAAAAGGAAGAAUGAGAACAAAUCUUGCAGCUAACAGUGCACUGCGUUUGCAUCCAUAUCUUUGAGGGGUAAUCUACAAAUAUUAUUAUAAACAAACCUUAGAAAAUAAUUGUA